UCCUGUAAUAUAACCGGCCGUCUCUAGAGCAAGUGGCAAAAAAUUUGAUGGUUGGUAUCCGAGAUUUCAAGUUUGAAUUCUAGUUGAUUCAUAUUUUCAGCUAAAUUUAUUUUUAAAUAAAAUAAACGAAGCAGGUAGCGUGCUACCUAUCUCUAAAAAAAAAAAAUUCUGUAAUAUAAGUACCAACCACCAAGCCCUUUGCCACUUACUCUAGAGACGCUUGGUAACAUGCAGGAAUUGAUACCCCUGACCUCUAAGUUAUCCCCUUGUAUAUAUACAGUAGCUGGCGCACUAAUUAUAUAUAAAGUUUCUAUAUAGAUUAUAAAUAUAUGUAUAGAGUUCGGCUACAAUACUAUUGAUAGUACCAAACACUUGGUAUUAUUAAGUUUUCUACCGUUAGAUCAAUCCCUUUGAUCAUUUUUAUCCCUCAUAUCAUAUUAUUUAACCAACCAUCUACUCAAUUCUAGAAGACCGCUAUCAUUUUAACCGUAUAUCGCUUCAUCCAAGGACCGAAAACUUAAUAGUACUAAUGACUUGGUGCUAAUAGUAUUCUAGCCUAAUUCUAUAUGUAUAAUAUUUGAUCUCUGGUUCAAACUGUUUAAUAAUUUUUUCGGUCAAAAUAUUAAGUCACCUUCAAUCUUCAAUU
RNAcentral lists this long non-coding RNA (646 nucleotides) under Ananas comosus (pineapple). Its description in RNAcentral is "long non-coding RNA (ACOM_LNC025180)". Lineage: Eukaryota; Viridiplantae; Streptophyta; Magnoliopsida; Poales; Bromeliaceae. The record is from RNAcentral.